Molecule: ribosomal RNA, 420 nt
Filed under: Triticum aestivum (bread wheat)
Lineage: Eukaryota; Viridiplantae; Streptophyta; Magnoliopsida; Poales; Poaceae
Description: partial small subunit ribosomal RNA
Source: RNAcentral
UGCUCUUUCUGCAAACAGGUGGAAACGGUGAAGCACUUGUUCUUUACUUGUCCCGUGGCCAGAAUUGUUUGGCGAUCCAUUGGAGUAGCUCUUGGCAGUGAUAGAUGCCCAUCGAAUUACUGGCAAUACUUUGUGUGGUGCCACAAAUUCCUUCCUGGGAAGCAAAAGUUUCAUACGGUGGGACUGGCGGCCGUAUGUUGGGACAUUUGGUUGGCACGCAAUCGAGCUACUUUUGAAAAACAAAUUAAGACUCCUUUUGAGAUUGUGUUUUCUCUAUGUUCCUUUCUAUUAUAUUGGACAGGGCUUCAACAAGGAGAGGACGCUAAGGAUCUUCGCGCUGGAGCUGAGAUGAUCAGGACUGGGACGAUGCAGGUGAUGAAGAUGUGUGGUGCUAUCAAGAAACCAAUCCAAGGUGCCUGA